RNAcentral lists this ribosomal RNA (1473 nucleotides) under Klebsiella pneumoniae. RNAcentral describes it as "bacterial SSU rRNA". It matches the Rfam family "Bacterial small subunit ribosomal RNA". Lineage: Bacteria; Pseudomonadati; Pseudomonadota; Gammaproteobacteria; Enterobacterales; Enterobacteriaceae. The record is from RNAcentral.
GUCAGAUUGAACGCUGGCGGCAGGCCUAACACAUGCAAGUCGAGCGGUAGCACAGAGAGCUUGCUCUCGGGUGACGAGCGGCGGACGGGUGAGUAAUGUCUGGGAAACUGCCUGAUGGAGGGGGAUAACUACUGGAAACGGUAGCUAAUACCGCAUAAUGUCGCAAGACCAAAGUGGGGGACCUUCGGGCCUCAUGCCAUCAGAUGUGCCCAGAUGGGAUUAGCUAGUAGGUGGGGUAACGGCUCACCUAGGCGACGAUCCCUAGCUGGUCUGAGAGGAUGACCAGCCACACUGGAACUGAGACACGGUCCAGACUCCUACGGGAGGCAGCAGUGGGGAAUAUUGCACAAUGGGCGCAAGCCUGAUGCAGCCAUGCCGCGUGUAUGAAGAAGGCCUUCGGGUUGUAAAGUACUUUCAGCGGGGAGGAAGGCGAUAAGGUUAAUAACCUUGUCGAUUGACGUUACCCGCAGAAGAAGCACCGGCUAACUCCGUGCCAGCAGCCGCGGUAAUACGGAGGGUGCAAGCGUUAAUCGGAAUUACUGGGCGUAAAGCGCACGCAGGCGGUCUGUCAAGUCGGAUGUGAAAUCCCCGGGCUCAACCUGGGAACUGCAUUCGAAACUGGCAGGCUAGAGUCUUGUAGAGGGGGGUAGAAUUCCAGGUGUAGCGGUGAAAUGCGUAGAGAUCUGGAGGAAUACCGGUGGCGAAGGCGGCCCCCUGGACAAAGACUGACGCUCAGGUGCGAAAGCGUGGGGAGCAAACAGGAUUAGAUACCCUGGUAGUCCACGCCGUAAACGAUGUCGAUUUGGAGGUUGUGCCCUUGAGGCGUGGCUUCCGGAGCUAACGCGUUAAAUCGACCGCCUGGGGAGUACGGCCGCAAGGUUAAAACUCAAAUGAAUUGACGGGGGCCCGCACAAGCGGUGGAGCAUGUGGUUUAAUUCGAUGCAACGCGAAGAACCUUACCUGGUCUUGACAUCCACAGAACUUACCAGAGAUGCUUUGGUGCCUUCGGGAACUGUGAGACAGGUGCUGCAUGGCUGUCGUCAGCUCGUGUUGUGAAAUGUUGGGUUAAGUCCCGCAACGAGCGCAACCCUUAUCCUUUGUUGCCAGCGGUUCGGCCGGGAACUCAAAGGAGACUGCCAGUGAUAAACUGGAGGAAGGUGGGGAUGACGUCAAGUCAUCAUGGCCCUUACGACCAGGGCUACACACGUGCUACAAUGGCACAUACAAAGAGAAGCGACCUCGCGAGAGCAAGCGGACCUCAUAAAGUGCGUCGUAGUCCGGAUUGGAGUCUGCAACUCGACUCCAUGAAGUCGGAAUCGCUAGUAAUCGUAGAUCAGAAUGCUACGGUGAAUACGUUCCCGGGCCUUGUACACACCGCCCGUCACACCAUGGGAGUGGGUUGCAAAAGAAGUAGGUAGCUUAACCUUCGGGAGGGCGCUUACCACUUUGUGAUUCAUGACUGGGGUGAAUCUA